This is a long non-coding RNA of Cottoperca gobio, 2046 nucleotides long. Ensembl lists it as uncharacterized. The record is from Ensembl. NCBI's taxonomy places the organism in Eukaryota, Metazoa, Chordata, Actinopteri, Perciformes, Bovichtidae.
GACAGAGUCCGCAUUACGUGGAUAAAUUCACUGUUUAUUGAGACAGUAGAUGUCAGACUAACUGCUGAGAGGAGGUGUCUUCUGAGAAGUUAAUAAUCAGCAAUAAAGAGGGUGUAGUUUUAAAGGAACUUAUUCUUUGAAUAAGGAAGCUGCCUGCAGUCCUUCUGGGGAAUUUCCCGUUCAUUUUAAGGAGAGAAUGGAGGAGACGAUGAAAGUAGGGAUGAGGAAACAUAGAAAGGUUUCUCAUAUCUGCUUGCUGGUGCUGACUCUGCUCCAACUCACUGCACCCUCCUCAGCUGAAAACACCACCACUUCAGCACCAAACCCUGUAGCUCUCAGUUACCGCACGCGCCCAGCUGACGUCACAGUGGCUGUGGGAAAACCUGCAGUGUUUCGCUGUGGAGUUCCCAAAGCUUCUACAAACUUGACAUUCACCUUCUACGGGAAUCACCGCAACUACAGCCUCACAUGCCCGUCAGGCUACGUGGAAGAUAUCCCCCAGGCUCUCUAUGGAAGUUGUGAUAUGAAGAAAGACGAGUUAUUGGCCGUUUGGACCCUUAAGGGAACUUCCUUCUCCGACAAUGGCACAAGAGUCGUAUGUCAGCACUCAGAGAAUCCUGAUGCACCUGCUGCCGUCCUGCACGUUUAUGAUGACGGCACCAGCUACGCCAUUCUCAUUGGCUGUACCAUUGGGGGCUUCUUUGGCAUCCUGUUGGUGUUUGGUUUAUCAUAUACCAUGCUGCUGAGAUCUGAGACCCUCCAGAAGUGCUUCAGGGGAAAAGAACCAGAAGAUAUGAAUACAAUAGUAACAAAGGAGUAAACAAGACAGAAAGCUGUUGCUUGAUGUUGCUUUAUAACCAACAGAGAAUGGAAAAGGAAACACAUUGUUUCUCUUUUUAAAUCCUUGAAUCAAUCUAAGUGAAGUAAAAGCUGGAUUGAACCCAGGUCUGGAGAUGAUGCCAGACAUUUUUAUGGCCGGAUCCAGUCUGACCACUGAUAUUUUCACUUCCUUGUUCUGCCCUCAUUGAUUAGACCUUGCACACAUUAUACAAAGCCUAACCGUGUAUAAUUUAGUAUUAAGCACUUAAAUAAAUACACAUACAAAUAUUAUUCUGCCAGAUUGCUUUUCCCACUUGGUGUAGGGUCAUAUGUCAACUUGCACUGCCUUUAUGGUACAUACCUUAUAAAUCAUGUGUAAAAAUGUGUUCUCUAAUGUGGCUAAAACAAUUUACAUGUGUAGAGUGAGCAGUCAAACUGUAGGAUUUGAAGAGCAGUCAGUCUAAAUCAUUUGUUCUAAAGUCAUUUUUAUACGUACAAUAGUUGUUAUUGCACAUUAUUGUUGGAUACAGCUCACAUCGGUGAAUAAAAGGAAUCUUAUCUUUCCAUUUCCAAGGCAUAACAGAGGCAUACAAGUUCAAUAGUUUUUGUCCACAUAUGAAUAUGAAUAUGUCCCUGCUACUAAAUAUAGUAGUAAGUGUUUACAGAGAUGUUGUGAAAGUGUUGAGUAAGUGAUAGUCUGCAGGCAGGCGCCGGUGAAAUGAGGAAUAGAAGAGUAGCUGCUCUGUGUGCUGCGACAUAUCUUUUAAAGCUAUAUUACAACAAACUUCUGAAGGUAAAAUCCUCACUGAUUGGGGUCCCAGCUGUGUUUGUCACACCCAGUUAGUCAGGUACACUUUCACAGACUGUCCACUUGAGGGAAGCACUCACUCCACAGAUUACAAACCGAAUAGUGGUUCUAACAGAGAGAAAUAUUCACUUUAAAAGAAUUGAUUGUAAAUACAAAACACUUAAACAAAAACGUUCUGUUUCCAUCAGAGCAUGUUGCGUUUGGUUUGUUCUUAUUUGCCAAAUUAUUCAAUUAAAUCUCUAAUGAAGAAAUUGUUAUUCUUUUAUUUGGGGAAUUGGUCAGUGAAGUAAGUCAGAUGUGAUGAUAAGAGUUUUCAUAUAUUUGCAUUCUGAAGUAAGUUGUCUGAAUGCUUUUAUCGUCAUUGUCUUUACAUAAAGGGUGUAUUUAUUUUUAUGCUGUUGCUGAUGUUUGUUGUUUCU